GAAAUAUAAGAACAUGUCUCUUAACUUUUAAUUAAAAAAAGCUAAGAACCGACUCUUAAAUAAGAGUUUUAAGAGACGGUUCUUAACUUUUUUAGUUAAAAGUUAAGAGACGGGUUCUUAUAUUCC
Molecule: microRNA precursor, 126 nt
Filed under: Brassica napus (rape)
Lineage: Eukaryota; Viridiplantae; Streptophyta; Magnoliopsida; Brassicales; Brassicaceae
Description: MIR9563 microRNA precursor family
Rfam family: MIR9563 microRNA precursor family
Source: Rfam by way of RNAcentral